CCUACGGGGGGCUGCAGUGGGGAAUAUUGGGCAAUGGAGGCAACUCUGACCCAGCAACGCCGCGUGAGCGAUGACGGUCCUCGGAUUGUAAAGCUCUGUCGCAGGGGACGCAGUAUGACGGUACCCUGUAAGAAAGCCCCGGCAAACUACGGGCCAGCAGCCGCGGUAAUACGUGGGGGGCUAGUGUUGUCCGGAAUUACUGGGCGUAAAGGGAGUGUAGACGGUUUGUCAAGUUAAGUGGGAAAGCCUGCGGUUUAACCGCAGAAUUGCACUUGAAACUGAUUCGCUCGAGUGCAGGAGAGGUGAGUGGAAUUCCUGGUGUAGCGGUGGAAUGCGUAGAUAUUAGGAGGAACACCGGAGGCGAAGGCGGCUCACUGGACUGUAACUGACGUUGAGGCUCGAAAGCGUGGGGAGCAAACAGGAUUAGAUACCCCGGUAGUC
RNAcentral lists this ribosomal RNA (441 nucleotides) under uncultured bacterium. Its description in RNAcentral is "partial 16S ribosomal RNA". It matches the Rfam family "Bacterial small subunit ribosomal RNA", at positions 338 to 795 of the family's 1533-position model. The record is from RNAcentral.